UACGUAGGGUGCGAGCGUUAAUCGGAAUUACUGGGCGUAAAGCGCACGUAGGCGGAUACUUAAGUCAGGGGUGAAAUCCCGGGGCUCAACCCCGGAACUGCCUUUGAUACUGGGUAUCUCGAGUCCGGAAGAGGUGAGUGGAAUUCCGAGUGUAGAGGUGAAAUUCGUAGAUAUUCGGAGGAACACCAGUGGCGAAGGCGGCUCACUGGUCCGGUACUGACGCUGAGGUGCGAAAGCGUGGGGAGCAAACAGG
Molecule: ribosomal RNA, 253 nt
Filed under: uncultured bacterium
Lineage: Bacteria
Description: partial 16S ribosomal RNA
Rfam family: Bacterial small subunit ribosomal RNA
Source: RNAcentral